This 1051-nucleotide ribosomal RNA is filed under the name Salmonella enterica. Its description in RNAcentral is "bacterial SSU rRNA". It matches the Rfam family "Bacterial small subunit ribosomal RNA", at positions 108 to 1156 of the family's 1533-position model. The record is from RNAcentral. Lineage: Bacteria; Pseudomonadati; Pseudomonadota; Gammaproteobacteria; Enterobacterales; Enterobacteriaceae.
GAGUAAUGUCUGGGAAACUGCCUGAUGGAGGGGGAUAACUACUGGAAACGGUGGCUAAUACCGCAUAACGUCGCAAGACCAAAGAGGGGGACCUUCGGGCCUCUUGCCAUCAGAUGUGCCCAGAUGGGAUUAGCUUGUUGGUGAGGUAACGGCUCACCAAGGCGACGAUCCCUAGCUGGUCUGAGAGGAUGACCAGCCACACUGGAACUGAGACACGGUCCAGACUCCUACGGGAGGCAGCAGUGGGGAAUAUUGCACAAUGGGCGCAAGCCUGAUGCAGCCAUGCCGCGUGUAUGAAGAAGGCCUUCGGGUUGUAAAGUACUUUCAGCGGGGAGGAAGGUGUUGUGGUUAAUAACCGCAGCAAUUGACGUUACCCGCAGAAGAAGCACCGGCUAACUCCGUGCCAGCAGCCGCGGUAAUACGGAGGGUGCAAGCGUUAAUCGGAAUUACUGGGCGUAAAGCGCACGCAGGCGGUCUGUCAAGUCGGAUGUGAAAUCCCCGGGCUCAACCUGGGAACUGCAUUCGAAACUGGCAGGCUUGAGUCUUGUAGAGGGGGGUAGAAUUCCAGGUGUAGCGGUGAAAUGCGUAGAGAUCUGGAGGAAUACCGGUGGCGAAGGCGGCCCCCUGGACAAAGACUGACGCUCAGGUGCGAAAGCGUGGGGAGCAAACAGGAUUAGAUACCCUGGUAGUCCACGCCGUAAACGAUGUCUACUUGGAGGUUGUGCCCUUGAGGCGUGGCUUCCGGAGCUAACGCGUUAAGUAGACCGCCUGGGGAGUACGGCCGCAAGGUUAAAACUCAAAUGAAUUGACGGGGGCCCGCACAAGCGGUGGAGCAUGUGGUUUAAUUCGAUGCAACGCGAAGAACCUUACCUGGUCUUGACAUCCACAGAACAUUCCAGAGAUGGAUUGGUGCCUUCGGGAACUGUGAGACAGGUGCUGCAUGGCUGUCGUCAGCUCGUGUUGUGAAAUGUUGGGUUAAGUCCCGCAACGAGCGCAACCCUUAUCCUUUGUUGCCAGCGGUCCGGCCGGGAACUCAAAGGAGACUGCCAGU